GUGUCGGCCAGCCUCAGAAUCCCAACACAGUUUUCCGGAUGGAGGGCUUCGGUGAGGAAACUGGCACAAGCAUCCACCAUCCGCAGAAACUAUAGACAUAAGAGGCAUGUAAGCAUAUCAUGGGACACCAGAGGAGCCGAGAAGUCCAGCCAAGAGGGAACAAGAACCAGAUAAGUAAAGUUGGCUGAAGUUUUUCAUGAUGUCCAGGGCUUUUGGUUGGUUUUUUUUCUGCCAUUUUUCCUUAUGCUACUUAAGCUUUUCCAAAGUUCAGGAAGCAUCACAAACAGUAGCAAACUGAAAAAAAUGAAAAAUCCAACCCUAUAAGUAAUUCAUUCUAUUGGUACCAGGAAGGAGGAGAAUUAAAAUGGGAAACUUUUUUGAAACUUUUGGAGGAAAAAUGUUUAGUUUUGAACUCUGCAAAAUGGAAACAAUUUCAAAAAUGUUUGGAUUUUUUUCCCCCUACUUUUUUGUUCAGCUCUAAAGAGAAGGCCAGAAGAUGCUUAGACAUUAGAAUGCCUAAUGGGAAGAACUUUAAGAAUGGCAUUUCUCUUUGGAGGCCUUCAUGAACAAGGAGAUGAAGACUGGAAUCUAACACACUUUGGGACUUGACCUUGGGUUACAUUGUUACUCCUCAUGUGCUCAUUACUGGAAUAUCA
Dermochelys coriacea (leatherback sea turtle) is the source of this 656-nucleotide long non-coding RNA. RefSeq lists it as uncharacterized. NCBI's taxonomy places the organism in Eukaryota, Metazoa, Chordata, Testudines, Dermochelyidae. The record is from RefSeq and is a predicted model, not a curated record. The transcript has 3 exons.